Molecule: ribosomal RNA, 253 nt
Filed under: uncultured bacterium
Lineage: Bacteria
Description: partial 16S ribosomal RNA
Rfam family: Bacterial small subunit ribosomal RNA
Source: RNAcentral
UACGUAGGGGGCAAGCGUUGUCCGGAAUCAUUGGGCGUAAAGAGCGUGUAGGCGGCCCGGUAAGUCCGCCGUGAAAGUCCAGGGCUCAACCCUGGAAUGCCGGUGGAUACUGUCGGGCUAGAGUCCGGAAGGGGCGAGUGGAAUUCCUGGUGUAGCGGUGAAAUGCGCAGAUAUCAGGAGGAACACCGAUGGCGAAGGCAGCUCGCUGGGACGGUACUGACGCUGAGGCGCGAAAGCGUGGGGAGCAAACGGG